This is a non-coding RNA of Fukomys damarensis (Damara mole-rat), 46 nucleotides long. The record is from Rfam. NCBI's taxonomy places the organism in Eukaryota, Metazoa, Chordata, Mammalia, Rodentia, Bathyergidae.
AAAACGGCUUUUUUCAAAGCCACACAGCUAGUAACUGGCAGAACUG